UACGGAGGGUGCAAACGUUGCUCGGAAUCAUUGGGCGUAAAGCGCACGUAGGCGGUCCAGCAAGUCGGGUGUGAAAGCCCUCGGCUUAACCGAGGAAGUGCAUUCGAAACUACUGGGCUUGAAUACUGGAGAGGGUUGCGGAAUUCCCGGUGUAGAGGUGAAAUUCGUAGAUAUCGGGAGGAACACCAGUGGCGAAGGCGGCAACCUGGACGUGUAUUGACGCUGAGGUGCGAAAGCGUGGGGAGCAAACAGG
This 253-nucleotide ribosomal RNA is filed under the name uncultured bacterium. Its description in RNAcentral is "partial 16S ribosomal RNA". It matches the Rfam family "Bacterial small subunit ribosomal RNA", at positions 524 to 776 of the family's 1533-position model. The record is from RNAcentral.